UACGGAGGAUGCGAGCGUUAUCCGGAUUUAUUGGGUUUAAAGGGUGCGUAGGCGGGUUAUCAAGUCAGCGGUAAAAUUGCGGGGCUCAACCUCGUCGAGCCGUUGAAACUGGGUGCCUUGAGUGGGCGAGAAGUACGCGGAAUGCGUGGUGUAGCGGUGAAAUGCAUAGAUAUCGCGCAGAACUCCGAUUGCGAAGGCAGCGUACCGGCGCCGGACUGACGCUGAGGCACGAAAGCGUGGGUAUCGAACAGG
RNAcentral lists this ribosomal RNA (252 nucleotides) under uncultured Bacteroidales bacterium. RNAcentral's name for it is "partial 16S ribosomal RNA". It matches the Rfam family "Bacterial small subunit ribosomal RNA", at positions 524 to 776 of the family's 1533-position model. The record is from RNAcentral. Lineage: Bacteria; Pseudomonadati; Bacteroidota; Bacteroidia; Bacteroidales.